GGCCUGAGGCGCAGCGGUCGCGUUAGUUCGGCCCAAUGGCGGCACCGCUGCUUCACACGUUGUUUGUCGGGAGAUGCGGCCGCUUCGUCCUCUGCAGUCAAGACGCUGGGCGCGUCGAGGACUGGCUUCUACUUGAAUGAAGACAAAAAUCUAGGCCGGGCGCGGUUGCUCACGCCUGUAAUCCCAGCACUUUGGGAGGCCGAGGUGGGCGGAUCACCUGAAGUCAGGAGUUCGAGACCAGCCUGGCCAACAUGCGAAACCUCGUCUCUACUGAAAAUAUAAAAAUUAGCCAGGCGUGGUGGCAGGUGCCUGUAAUCCCAGCUACUCAGGAGGCUGAGGCAGGAGAAUUGCUUGAACCCGGAGAUGGAGGUUGCAGUUAAGCUGAGAUCACACCACUGCACUCCAGCCUGGGCAGCAGAGCAAGACUCCAUCUCAAAAAAAAAAAAAAAUCCAGCCACGUAGAGAUUUGGGAAAAGAGUAUUUCCAAUAGAGUGAACAGUAAGUGAAAUGAGAAACAGCUUGGCUUGUUUGAAGAGCAGAAAAGACAUGAUGGCUGUAGUAAAACAAGUUGUUGGAGAUGAGGUGAGAGAGGUAGGCGGGGGCCAGAUUAAUGUAGGAUUUUAAAGACCACACUGAGAGAUUUGGAUUGUUACUGUAAGUGCAGUGGGAAGACAGUUAUUGGUUGCUGAGCAAAGGAGGGAUUGUUGGUUAAGAGUGGAAGCAGGGAGACCAGUAAAGAGGCCUUAACAAUAGUCCCACUGAAUUAUGUUGGUUCAAUAAAGGUUGGCUAUUAUAAUUUUUAUUAUUUUCAUGAACUUAAUAGCUUGUUAAUCUUGGUUCCACAGGAUUUCAAAUAUGCGUGCAUUAGAGAAUGAUUUUUUCAAUUCUCCCCCAAGAAAAACUGUUCGGUUUGGUGGAACUGUGACAGAAGUCUUGCUGAAGUACAAAAAGGGUGAAACAAAUGACUUUGAGUUGUUGAAGAACCAGCUGUUAGAUCCAGACAUAAAGGAUGACCAGAUCAUCAACUGGCUGCUAGAAUUCCGUUCUUCUGUCAUGUACUUGACAAAAGACUUUGAGCAACUUAUCAGUAUUAUAUUGAGAUUGCCUUGGUUGAAUAGAAGUCAAACAGUAGUGGAAGAGUAUUUGGCUUUUCUUGGUAAUCUUGUAUCAGCAUAGACUGUUUUCCUCAGACCGUGUCUCAGCAUGAUUGCUUCCCAUUUUGUGCCUCCCUGAGUGAUCAUUAAGGAAGGCGAUGUAGAUGUUUCAGAUUCUGAUGAUGAAGAUGAUAGAAUGUUACGUUCAUAACUUACUAAGGAUUAGUGUAUAUUUUCCAACCUUGAGGCAUGAAAUUCUGGAGCUUAUUAUUGAAAAACUACUCAAGCUGGAUGUGAAUGCAUCCCGGCAGGGUAUUGAAGAUGCUGAAGAAACAGCAAAUCAAACUUGUGGUGGGACAGAUUCCACGGAAGGAUUGUUUAAUAUGGGAUUCGCAGAGGCAUUUUUGGAACAUCUUUGGAAAAACUUGCAGGAUCCAAGUAAUCCUGCCAUCAUCAGGCAGGCUGCUGGAAAUUAUAUUGGAAGCUUUUUGGCAAGAGCUAAAUUUAUUUCUCUUAUUACUGUAAAACCAUGCCUAGAUCUUUUGGUUAACUGGCUGCACAUAUACCUUAAUAACCAGGAUUCGGGAACAAAGGCAUUCUGCGAUGUUGCUCUCCAUGGACCAUUUUACUCAGCCUGCCAAGCUGUGUUCUACACCUUUGUUUUUAGACACAAGCAGCUUUUGAGCGGAAACCUGAAAGAAGGUUUGCAGUAUCCUCAGAGUCUGAAUUUUGAGCGGAUAGUGAUGAGCCAGCUAAAUCCCCUGAAGAUUUGCCUGCCCUCAGUGGUUAACUUUUUUGCUGCAAUCACAAAAGUUUUCAUUUUACAGGAUGAAGACUUGUGGAUAUGGAUGGUGGUGAUGGUUGCACAACAAUAUCAAUUUAUUUUAUACCACUGAACCGUGCACUUCAAAAUGGUUAAGAUGGUAAGUUUUAUGUUGUGUAUUUUACCAUAAUAAAAAAAAUUGUAGAGGGAAAAA
Long non-coding RNA from Homo sapiens (human), 2071 nucleotides. NCBI's taxonomy places the organism in Eukaryota, Metazoa, Chordata, Mammalia, Primates, Hominidae. The record is from Ensembl.